RNAcentral lists this ribosomal RNA (1024 nucleotides) under Candidatus Anammoxiglobus propionicus. RNAcentral describes it as "bacterial SSU rRNA". It matches the Rfam family "Bacterial small subunit ribosomal RNA", at positions 391 to 1396 of the family's 1533-position model. Lineage: Bacteria; Pseudomonadati; Planctomycetota; Candidatus Brocadiia; Candidatus Brocadiales; Candidatus Brocadiaceae. The record is from RNAcentral.
GCGACGCCGCGUGUGGGAAGAAGGCCUUCGGGGUUGUGAAGCCACUGUCGGGAGUAGAAAAGGUGUACGGGUAAAUAGUCCGUGCAUUUGACAAAAGCUCCCGGAGGAAGCCACGGCUAACUCUGUGCCAGCAGCCGCGGUAAUACAGAGGUGGCAAGCGUUGUUCGGAAUUAUUGGGCGUAAAGAGCACGUAGGCGGCCCUGCAAGUCAGCUGUGAAAGCCUCCUGCUUAACGGGAGAAGUGCAGUUGAAACUACGGGGCUAGAGUGCGGAAGGGGAGAGUGGAACUUCUGGUGGAGCGGUGAAAUGCGUAGAUAUCAGAAGGAACACCGGCGGCGAAAGCGGCUCUCUGGUCCGUAACUGACGCUGAGGUGCGAAAGCCAGGGGAGCAAACGGGAUUAGAUACCCCGGUAGUCCUGGCCGUAAACGAUGGGCACUCGGUAGAGGGGUUUUGAAUAUCUCUCUGCCUGAGCUAACGCGUUAAGUGCCCCGCCUGGGGAGUACGGCCGCAAGGCUAAAACUCAAAAGAAUUGACGGGGGCUCGCACAAGCGGUGGAGCAUGUGGCUUAAUUCGAUGCAACACGAAGAACCUUACCGGGGCUCGACAUGACAGAAGUAGGAGUCCGAAAGGACAACCAACGGUAUCCAGUCCGUAGCUGUCACAGGUGUUGCAUGGCUGUCGUCAGCUCGUGUCGUGAGACGUUGGGUUAAGUCCCCUAACGAGCGAAACCCUUGUCUUUAGUUGCCAACGGGUCAAGCCGGGCACUCUAAAGAGACUGCUGUCGUUAAGACGGAGGAAGGUGGGGAUGACGUCAAGUCAUCAUGGCCCUUAUGUCCCGGGCUGCACACGUGCUACAAUGGUCGGUACAAAGGGAUGCUAAAUCGCAAGAUGGAGCGAAACCCAGAAAGCCGGUCCCAGUUCAGAUUGGAGGCUGAAACCCGCCUCCAUGAAGGAGGAAUCGCUAGUAAUCGCGGAUCAGCUAUGCCGCGGUGAAUAUGUUCCCGAGCCUUGUACACACCGCCCG